GCAGUUUGCAUUGCAGUCAACAGUCGAAGAAGGUGUGGGCAGAAGAAAAAGCUAGUGAUCAACAGUGGCAAUGGAGCUGUGGAGGACAGAAAGCCAAGUGGACUCAACGGAGAGGCCAGCAAGUCUCAGGAAAUGGUGCAUUUGGUGAACAAGGAGUCGUCAGAAACUCCAGACCAGUUUAUGACAGCUGAUGAGACAAGGAACCUGCAGAAUGUGGACAUGAAGAUUGGGGUGUAACACCUACACCAUUAUCUUGGAAAGAAACAACCGUUGGAAACAUAACCAUUACAGGGAGCUGGGACACUUAACAGAUGCAAUGUGCUACUGAUUGUUUCAUUGCGAAUCUUUUUUAGCAUAAAAUUUUCUACUCUUUUUGUUUUUUGUGUUUUGUUCUUUAAAGUCAGGUCCAAUUUGUAAAAACAGCAUUGCUUUCUGAAAUUAGGGCCCAAUUAAUAAUCAGCAAGAAUUUGAUCGUUCCAGUUCCCACUUGGAGGCCUUUCAUCCCUCGGGUGUGCUAUGGAUGGCUUCUAACAAAAACUACACAUAUGUAUUCCUGAUCGCCAACCUUUCCCCCACCAGCUAAGGACAUUUCCCAGGGUUAAUAGGGCCUGGUCCCUGGGAGGAAAUUUGAAUGGGUCCAUUUUGCCCUUCCAUAGCCUAAUCCCUGGGCAUUGCUUUCCACUGAGGUUGGGGGUUGGGGUGUACUAGUUACACAUCUUCAACAGACCCCCUCUAGAAAUUUUUCAGAUGCUUCUGGGAGACACCCAAAGGGUGAAGCUAUUUAUCUGUAGUAAACUAUUUAUCUGUGUUUUUGAAAUAUUAAACCCUGGAUCAGUCCUUUGAUCAGUAUAAUUUUUUAAAGUUACUUUGUCAGAGGCACAAAAGGGUUUAAACUGAUUCAUAAUAAAUAUCUGUACUUCUUCGAUCUUC
Molecule: long non-coding RNA, 930 nt
Filed under: Homo sapiens (human)
Lineage: Eukaryota; Metazoa; Chordata; Mammalia; Primates; Hominidae
Description: long non-coding RNA NONHSAT159017.1
Source: RNAcentral